This 274-nucleotide ribosomal RNA is filed under the name uncultured bacterium. RNAcentral describes it as "partial 16S ribosomal RNA". It matches the Rfam family "Bacterial small subunit ribosomal RNA", at positions 523 to 796 of the family's 1533-position model. The record is from RNAcentral.
AUACGGAGGGCGCAAGCGUUGUUCGGAAUCAUUGGGCGUAAAGCGGGUGCAGGCGGUGAAGUCAGUCGGAUGUGAAAGCCCAGGGCCCAACCCUGGAACUGCAUUCGAAACUGCUUCACUAGAGUCCCGGAGGGGAAGGCGGAAUUCCCGGUGUAGAGGUGAAAUUCGUAGAUAUCGGGAGGAACACCAGUGGCGAAGGCGGCCUUCUGGACGGUGACUGACGCUCAGACCCGAAAGCGUGGGGAGCAAACAGGAUUAGAAACCCCGGUAGUCC